RNAcentral lists this non-coding RNA (29 nucleotides) under Mus musculus (house mouse). Lineage: Eukaryota; Metazoa; Chordata; Mammalia; Rodentia; Muridae. The record is from RNAcentral.
UCCUAAGUAAUUAGGUUGCAUGGCAUCUU